UCCGGGCUUAUAGCUAUUGGACUUUGUUUGUUAUAACUGAUUGUGUUGCAUUCUUGAGUUCAGUUUAAUUGUUCAGGGUUAUAUAUGAAACAUUCCAGGGGGUUCAAUUGUCUAUACGUAUACCUAUGGGCUGAAGUGUAAAUUCAGAAGUUUCAUCCUAUAAAUCUGUUCAGUGUGCAGCUAGGGUUCCAGAACCUUCAUUUUUACGCAUCAACACAUAUCUACUCUGUGUAUAGUUCUGCCAUUAUCCCCCAAUUCUCUUUCAAUAUACACCGAUCAUACACACAGUUCUCUCAAUCCAUUAAAGAUGUGCAUUUCAUUCAAGUUCUGAUCUGAUGGAGAUCCGUUGUGGGACUUGUACAGCUGUUGGUCCGGUUGUGUUUCCAACACAGUAGAAGGAUUGAAGAUCUGUUGAAGAUCUCAUUAAUUUAUUCAGUUUGUGUUGUUGAAGAUCUUGUGAAUCUUCAUAUUCUUAGUUUUUCCUGUAUCCUUUUGUUAACCAGCCGAGUAUGGUCUGGUUAUUGUUGAUCCUGUGUUGGAUCUUGUUAUUUCACAUUUCUUUCUAUGAUCAACAGAUAUUUUAUCUGUUGAUCCUGUAUUUCGUAUUUGUUGUAUUAGAUCUUACAUAAGUAAGAUCUAGGGUUUGGGGGGUGUUUUUUGGUUUGGGUUGAAUAAUAAAGUUUUACGUCAUGUUUUUGUCGCUAUCUUUUGUAUCUACUGUGUUUGUGUUGUUAUAUUUGCUACAAUCGAUCAGUAUACCAGUGUUUUUGACAUGGUAUCAGAGCCUUCAUGCUCCUGUUGAUGAUCGAUUGUAUGUCUUCCGCUGUAUUGUUGAGUGUCGGUUGUCUGAUUGUUUGGCUUUGUUGUUGUUUCCAGGGUUUCUGUUCUUGGAAUUGGUUGUUGACAGCAGAUCUGUGUACUUCAGGUUAAAGAGAAUUGAAACCCUAUCUCAGGGCUUCAAGUGUUGUCUAAGUGUGCUCGGAAAUUUUUGGUUAGUGACAGAUCUGCUUAGAUCUAUGAUUUCUUGGUGAUAUACAGUUUGGUUCUGAAUAGAACCCUAAGUUAGGGUUUCUAACUUCUGGUCUUUUCUCCAAUUUAUCAUUUGUGUUAGUCUCUGCAACCCUCGGAGGUUCAGGGCAAACUAACCAGAAAAGUUAUGGUGAUUCUUUUCUGUCUGCAUCAGAUCUUGUUGUUCUUGAAAAUCACAUAUCUGAUAUUAUUUGGUGUUGCUUGCAACCGCUGUAAGAUCGUUCCUCUCCUUUAUUUUUGUUUUUAUUUUUUGUUUCUGCAUCUAACUAUUGUUGUGUCUAGGCAUUCUGUUUACCGGACUAGUCGGGCCGGCUCUUGAUCGAGUCUACUUGUUAUCUGUUGCAUUGUUUGGUUCUUGGUUGUGUUGAUUUGUUUUGGUUCUGUGGUUGUUACUGUUUAUUAUUUGUUCUUGUUUGUUUUGUGUGGUUAGUUUAGAAGUGGCUUCUGAGUAAAGGCUUGUCCAGGCACCAUAGAGUGAUGAACCUGGAAUCUGGUCCCUGACUCAGCUUCGCCCUAGGUUUUUUAUCUUCUAAUUGGCUCAUAUAUUGUGUUAUCUGUUGUUAACUUCUGUGGUCUAUUGUCUUGUUGUUGUUUGUUCUUUUGUGUCUUAUUUUUUUUUGUUCUUUGGUUUUGGCUGAUUCAUUGUUUGAUACUGUGUGUCUAUGUAGAUUGAGGUAACAAGAUUGUUUAAAAUCUGUCACUUGGUGACUAUUAAAAUUGUUGAAUAGCUUUCUUAAAUCUGAUAGAAGGUUUAUAUAAGAUGUUUGGUCUUCGUUUUUUGUAAGUUGUGCAUAUAUUGUGGCAUGUUCUUAGAUCCAGUUUUUUAUUGAUUCAGGUUUAUAUGAGAUCCUUGUUGUUUAUGUUAUCUGUUUGGCUCUCAUCUUUGUUUGUCCUAAAGGGUUAGGUUUUGUAAAUCAUGACAGUUUGGGUAUAUCUUGGUUUUGUUAUGUCUCUUGAAUCUUGUAUGAUAAUUGAAUGGUCAUGUUUUUUUAUUCAUGACUUACUGUGGUUUUCAUUGCAUGAUCUUGUUGUUUCAUUCAUGAUUGGAUGUUUGGUUGCUAUGUAAUGUGUUAUGUUUGUGUGUUUUGAUGUGUUCUAUGAUGCGCUUCUUUAGAGCUUGCGUGUUGUACUUGAUGGUUUGCCUAGGUUUGAAAUUCAUCGUUGUGAUGUGUCUUGUUUUCGGUUAUAGAUUUUUUUUAGGUCUUGUUCAUUUGAGUCUUAUUGUUAAUUUGAUUAGUUUGUUUAUAAUCAUGGUGUUCAUGCCCAUUGUCUAGUAUUAGAUUUUUGUCAUGUUCAUGCGAUGGUUUGUUUUUUUAUAUGUGAAAGAGUUCUCUCAGACAUGUUCUUUGUAAUUGACUCGUUACAUUGGUAAACCAUCUUUCCUUAGAGCUAUACUUCUUUAGUUAGUUGUUAGUAUACUGACAUGAUUGAAAUAAAAAUUUGUUUCUUUUUGCCAUCUAUGAGCUUUAACAACAUUUGUUUCUUUCGUAGUUGUCCGCUAAAAUAGUCUUUUUUAUUAAACUUCUUAGAUCUCCUGUUCUUUGUUUGUUUAAGUGGUAAAGUGAAAUUGGUUUUAUGGUCAUAAUUGUAAUUACUGAAUGCGGUUUUGGAAAAUUUGUGGUUUUGUAGAUGAAAUUGGAUUACAAUCUGUUCUUUUAUCCAGAGAUGGUGUUUCAUUAAUAAAGAAAUAGUUAAAAAGUGUGCAGCUAGGGUUCCAGAACCUUCAUUUUUACGCAUCAACACAUAUCUACUCUGUGUAUAGUUCUGCCAUUAUCCCCCAAUUCUCUUUCAAUAUACACCGAUCAUACACACAGUUCUCUCAAUCCAUUAAAGAUGUGCAUUUCAUUCAAGUUCUGAUCUGAUGGAGAUCCGUUGUGGGACUUGUACAGCUGUUGGUCCGGUUGUGUUUCCAACACAGUAGAAGGAUUGAAGAUCUGUUGAAGAUCUCAUUAAUUUAUUCAGUUUGUGUUGUUGAAGAUCUUGUGAAUCUUCAUAUUCUUAGUUUUUCCUGUAUCCUUUUGUUAACCAGCCGAGUAUGGUCUGGUUAUUGUUGAUCCUGUGUUGGAUCUUGUUAUUUCACAUUUCUUUCUAUGAUCAACAGAUAUUUUAUCUGUUGAUCCUGUAUUUCGUAUUUGUUGUAUUAGAUCUUACAUAAGUAAGAUCUAGGGUUUGGGGGGUGUUUUUUGGUUUGGGUGAAAUAAUAAAGUUUUACGUCAUGUUUUUGUCGCUA
Molecule: long non-coding RNA, 3259 nt
Organism: Helianthus annuus (common sunflower)
Lineage: Eukaryota; Viridiplantae; Streptophyta; Magnoliopsida; Asterales; Asteraceae
Exons: 2
Source: RefSeq, a predicted model, not a curated record